UACGAAGGGGGCUAGCGUUGCUCGGAAUCACUGGGCGUAAAGGGUGCGUAGGUGGCAUGGUAAGUCGGAUGUGAAAUCCCGGGGCUCAACCCCGGAACUGCAUUCGAUACUGCUGCGCUAGAGUACUGGAGAGGAGAUUGGAAUUUACGGUGUAGCAGUGAAAUGCGUAGAUAUCGUAAGGAAGACCAGUGGCGAAGGCGGAUCUCUGGACAGUUACUGACACUGAGGCACGAAGGCCAGGGGAGCAAACGGG
RNAcentral lists this ribosomal RNA (253 nucleotides) under uncultured bacterium. RNAcentral describes it as "partial 16S ribosomal RNA". It matches the Rfam family "Bacterial small subunit ribosomal RNA", at positions 524 to 776 of the family's 1533-position model. The record is from RNAcentral.